UACGUAGGCAGCAAGCGUUGUUCGGAAUUACUGGGCGUAAAAGAGUGUGUAGGCGGGUUGUUCUAAGUUUGGUGAUGAAAUCGUCCCCGGCUCCAACGUGGGAGGGUGCGCCGAAAACUGGGAAUGCUAGAGUAUGGGAGAGGUAAGCGGAAUUCCUGGUGUAGCGGUGAAAUGACGUAGAUAUCAGGAGGAACACCUGUGGUGUAGACAGCUUACUGGACCAUACUGACGCUGAGACACGAAAGCGGUGGGUAGCAAACAGG
This 263-nucleotide ribosomal RNA is filed under the name uncultured bacterium. RNAcentral describes it as "partial 16S ribosomal RNA". It matches the Rfam family "Bacterial small subunit ribosomal RNA", at positions 524 to 776 of the family's 1533-position model. The record is from RNAcentral.